GCGGCGAGUGAAGCGGCAAAAGCUCAAAUUUGAAAUCUGGCUCUUUCAGAGUCCGAGUUGUAAUUUGAAGAAGGUAUCUUUGGGUCUGGCUCUUGUCUAUGUUUCUUGGAACAGAACGUCACAGAGGGUGAGAAUCCCGUGCGAUGAGAUGAUCCAGGCCUAUGUAAAGUUCCUUCGAAGAGUCGAGUUGUUUGGGAAUGCAGCUCUAAGUGGGUGGUAAAUUCCAUCUAAAGCUAAAUAUUGGCGAGAGACCGAUAGCGAACAAGUACAGUGAUGGAAAGAUGAAAAGAACUUUGAAAAGAGAGUGAAAAAGUACGUGAAAUUGUUGAAAGGGAAGGGCUUGAGAUCAGACUUGGUAUUUUGUAUGUUACUUCUUCGGGGGUGGCCUCUACAGUUUAUCGGGCCAGCAUCAGUUUGGGCGGUAGGAGAAUUGCGUUGGAAUGUGGCACGGCUUCGGUUGUGUGUUAUAGCCUUCGUCGAUACUGCCAGCCUAGACUGAGGACUGCGGUUUAUACCUA
This 518-nucleotide ribosomal RNA is filed under the name Candida tropicalis. Its description in RNAcentral is "eukaryotic LSU rRNA". It matches the Rfam family "Eukaryotic large subunit ribosomal RNA", at positions 86 to 609 of the family's 3401-position model. The record is from RNAcentral. Lineage: Eukaryota; Fungi; Ascomycota; Pichiomycetes; Serinales; Debaryomycetaceae.